UUUUAAAAUUCAUCUAUUUGUACUGUUAAAAACUAGCGUGGCUAACGAAAUAACCAAACUAUGACAUGUGGCGUGCCAUGUGUAUCUAAUGUAGAUGUAUAAAGACUAGUUUUUAACAGUAGAAAUAGAUGAAAUUUUUAAUA
Non-coding RNA from Gossypium arboreum, 143 nucleotides. NCBI's taxonomy places the organism in Eukaryota, Viridiplantae, Streptophyta, Magnoliopsida, Malvales, Malvaceae. The record is from Rfam.